RNAcentral lists this transfer RNA (84 nucleotides) under Candidatus Woesearchaeota archaeon. RNAcentral describes it as "tRNA-Ser". It matches the Rfam family "tRNA". From Rfam's summary of the family: Transfer RNA (tRNA) molecules are approximately 80 nucleotides in length. Their secondary structure includes four short double-helical elements and three loops (D, anti-codon, and T loops). Lineage: Archaea; Nanobdellati; Candidatus Woesearchaeota. The record is from RNAcentral. RNAcentral also lists the same sequence under 1 other name.
GCCACUGUCGUCUAACCCGGUAUGGCGCCGGUCUCGAACACCGGUUUCCGCAAGGAUAUCCCGGUUCAAAUCCGGGCAGUGGCG